This 414-nucleotide ribosomal RNA is filed under the name uncultured bacterium. Its description in RNAcentral is "bacterial SSU rRNA". It matches the Rfam family "Bacterial small subunit ribosomal RNA", at positions 355 to 786 of the family's 1533-position model. The record is from RNAcentral.
UGGGGAAUAUUGGGCAAUGGGCGCAAGCCUGACCCAGCAACGCCGCGUGAAGGAAGAAGGCUUUCGGGUUGUAAACUUCUUUUCUGAGGGACGAUAGUGACGGUACCUCAGGAAUAAGCCACGGCUAACUACGUGCCAGCAGCCGCGGUAAUACGUAGGUGGCAAGCGUUAUCCGGAUUUACUGGGUGUAAAGGGCGUGUAGGCGGGAUGGUAAGUCAGAUGUGAAAACUAUGGGCUCAACCCAUAGCCUGCAUUUGAAACUAUCGUUCUUGAGUGUUGGAGGGGCAGGCGGAAUUCCGUGUGUAGCGGUGAAAUGCGUAGAUAUACGGAGGAACACCAGUGGCGAAGGCGGCCUGCUGGACAAUAACUGACGCUGAGGCGCGAAAGCGUGGGGAGCAAACAGGAUUAGAUACC